UGCGCUCCAUUUGUACUGGGAAGUGGGAAACCCCCACUUACAAGUCUUACAUUUAAGUGGGAAUUCCUUGUUGGAAAGUGGGAGAGUUCAGAAUUCAAGAUGGCAGCUGUUCAGCCCAACUCAGCAAUACAAUAAAAUGAUGUAAAGUGAUGAUGUAAGAUGAGGAUACCACAGUGGAAAUGGAUUAUUCCCAAAGAGGAAUGUUUCCCAUGAACAAGAUUAGGGGAUGCUUUCAUCAAGCAAGGAACAUCAGGGAAAAUGCAAAGAAGACAUGCUGCUUUGCUCCUCCCACCAAACAGUGUUACCGUCCGUCACACGAACGCUGCAGUCUGAGCAUAUUGUUGAAGAGAAUUCUUGUUUUUGUUGCUGCUCUCCAGUCUAUUCAUCUAAAUGCAAAUAUGGAAAGCAUCUGCUAAUUGAAUGAAUCACUGAAAAAUGCUGCAUAAAUGUUAGUUUCUGCUAAGCAAAAUGGAAACGUUCAUAAUAAACAUGUUGUGUAUCCAGAAUUUUAGUGUAUGUUUGCUCGGAUUACUAGAAGUCUAAAAUAUCUGAGAGAUUUUAUGUUUAAGCUUUUGCUAUUUAGUGAAAGAAUUAGAAUCUUUUAUUUUUUAUUAACUAUUUAAGCAGCUAAAUUCGGAAAUACCAAGGGGUGUUCUGAAACAUUCAGAUUUUUUUUUAUUUUGCAAGAAUCUACAUGCUCUAGUUACAUAAUGAGCACUUGCUUAUUUCAAAAUCUGUUUAUUUUUGUUCUCCAACUAUGUUCUGAAAAAUACAGUAUUAAUCAAUUAAAUCACACUUCAGUGGC
Molecule: long non-coding RNA, 805 nt
Organism: Austrofundulus limnaeus
Lineage: Eukaryota; Metazoa; Chordata; Actinopteri; Cyprinodontiformes; Rivulidae
Exons: 3
Source: RefSeq, a predicted model, not a curated record